RNAcentral lists this ribosomal RNA (769 nucleotides) under Acinetobacter johnsonii. Its description in RNAcentral is "bacterial SSU rRNA". It matches the Rfam family "Bacterial small subunit ribosomal RNA", at positions 56 to 819 of the family's 1533-position model. The record is from RNAcentral. Lineage: Bacteria; Pseudomonadati; Pseudomonadota; Gammaproteobacteria; Moraxellales; Moraxellaceae.
UGCAAGUCGAGCGGGGAGAGGUAGCUUGCUACCUGACCUAGCGGCGGACGGGUGAGUAAUGCUUAGGAAUCUGCCUAUUAGUGGGGGACAACAUUCCGAAAGGAAUGCUAAUACCGCAUACGCCCUACGGGGGAAAGCAGGGGAUCUUCGGACCUUGCGCUAAUAGAUGAGCCUAAGUCAGAUUAGCUAGUUGGUGGGGUAAAGGCCUACCAAGGCGACGAUCUGUAGCGGGUCUGAGAGGAUGAUCCGCCACACUGGGACUGAGACACGGCCCAGACUCCUACGGGAGGCAGCAGUGGGGAAUAUUGGACAAUGGGCGCAAGCCUGAUCCAGCCAUGCCGCGUGUGUGAAGAAGGCCUUUUGGUUGUAAAGCACUUUAAGCGAGGAGGAGGCUACUUGGAUUAAUACUCUAAGAUAGUGGACGUUACUCGCAGAAUAAGCACCGGCUAACUCUGUGCCAGCAGCCGCGGUAAUACAGAGGGUGCGAGCGUUAAUCGGAUUUACUGGGCGUAAAGCGUGCGUAGGCGGCUUCUUAAGUCGGAUGUGAAAUCCCUGAGCUUAACUUAGGAAUUGCAUUCGAUACUGGGAAGCUAGAGUAUGGGAGAGGAUGGUAGAAUUCCAGGUGUAGCGGUGAAAUGCGUAGAGAUCUGGAGGAAUACCGAUGGCGAAGGCAGCCAUCUGGCCUAAUACUGACGCUGAGGUACGAAAGCAUGGGGAGCAAACAGGAUUAGAUACCCUGGUAGUCCAUGCCGUAAACGAUGUCUACUAG